UGAGUGUCAUGAAAACCUCAACCCCUCGGGUUUUGUAACCGGGGUGGGUUUGGACUUGGGUGUCUGCUGGACUUUGGUCUGGCUCACCUCAAAUGAUAUAGUGGGACAGCGAACCCAUGGCUUGACGUAAUAAGUUUCGUCUGAGCCUGGUCGUGGUGCCUGCUUACAACAACCAUAUUUUAUGACUCUGACCUCAAAUCAGGUAGGGCUACCCGCUGAACUUAAGCAUAUCAAUAAGCGGAGGAAAAGAAACUAACAAGGAUUCCCCUAGUAACGGCGAGCGAACAGGGAAGAGCUCAAAUUUGUAAUCUGGCGUCCUUCGGGCGUCCGAGUUGUAAUCUAUAGAAGUGUUUUCCGUGCUGGACCAUGUCCAAGUCCCUUGGAACAGGGCAUCAGAGAGGGUGAUAAUCCCGUCCUUGACAUGACAACCAGUGCUCUGUGAUACACUUUCUACGAGUCGAGUUGUUUGGGAAUGCAGCUCAAAAUGGGUGGUGAGUUCCAUCUAAAGCUAAAUAUUGGCGAGAGACCGAUAGCGAACAAGUACCGUGAGGGAAAGAUGAAAAGCACUUUGGAAAGAGAGUUAAACAGUACGUGAAAUUGUUAAAAGGGAAACGAUUGAAGUCAGUCGUGUCCUUGGGGUUCAGCCAGUUCUGCUGGUGUAUUCCCCUUGGACGGGUCAACAUCAGUUUGGACCGGCGGAAAAUGGCGGGAGGAAUGUAGCAGCUCCGGUUGUGUUAUAGCCUCUUGUCGUAUACGUUGGUCUG
Molecule: ribosomal RNA, 764 nt
Filed under: Sterigmatosporidium polymorphum
Lineage: Eukaryota; Fungi; Basidiomycota; Tremellomycetes; Tremellales; Cuniculitremaceae
Description: eukaryotic LSU rRNA
Rfam family: Eukaryotic large subunit ribosomal RNA (bases 189-764)
Source: RNAcentral